GCACAAGCAGUGGAGUAUGUGGAUUAAUUCGACGCAACGCGAAGAACCUUACCAGGUCUUGACAUCCUACUAACGAGGCAGAGAUGCAUUAGGUGCCCUUCGGGGAAAGUAGAGACAGGUGGUGCAUGGUUGUCGUCAGCUCGUGUCGUGAGAUGUUGGGUUAAGUCCCGCAACGAGCGCAACCCUUACUGUUAGUUGCUACGCAAGAGCACUCUAGUAGGACUGCCGUUGACAAAACGGAGGAAG
This 246-nucleotide ribosomal RNA is filed under the name uncultured bacterium. RNAcentral describes it as "partial 16S ribosomal RNA". It matches the Rfam family "Bacterial small subunit ribosomal RNA", at positions 923 to 1172 of the family's 1533-position model. The record is from RNAcentral.